This 725-nucleotide ribosomal RNA is filed under the name Bacillus subtilis. Its description in RNAcentral is "bacterial SSU rRNA". It matches the Rfam family "Bacterial small subunit ribosomal RNA", at positions 564 to 1283 of the family's 1533-position model. Lineage: Bacteria; Bacillati; Bacillota; Bacilli; Caryophanales; Bacillaceae. The record is from RNAcentral.
AGGGCUUCGCAGGCGGUUUUUUAAGUUCUGAUUGUGAAAGCCCCCCGGCUUCAACCGGGGAGGGUCAUUGGAAACUUGGGGAACUUGAGUGCAGAAGAGGAGAGUGGAAUUCCACGUGUAGCGGUGAAAUGCGUAGAGAUGUGGAGGAACACCAGUGGCGAAGGCGACUCUCUGGUCUGUAACUGACGCUGAGGAGCGAAAGCGUGGGGAGCGAACAGGAUUAGAUACCCUGGUAGUCCACGCCGUAAACGAUGAGUGCUAAGUGUUAGGGGGUUUCCGCCCCUUAGUGCUGCAGCUAACGCAUUAAGCACUCCGCCUGGGGAGUACGGUCGCAAGACUGAAACUCAAAGGAAUUGACGGGGGCCCGCACAAGCGGUGGAGCAUGUGGUUUAAUUCGAAGCAACGCGAAGAACCUUACCAGGUCUUGACAUCCUCUGACAAUCCUAGAGAUAGGACGUCCCCUUCGGGGGCAGAGUGACAGGUGGUGCAUGGUUGUCGUCAGCUCGUGUCGUGAGAUGUUGGGUUAAGUCCCGCAACGAGCGCAACCCUUGAUCUUAGUUGCCAGCAUUCAGUUGGGCACUCUAAGGUGACUGCCGGUGACAAACCGGAGGAAGGUGGGGAUGACGUCAAAUCAUCAUGCCCCUUAUGACCUGGGCUACACACGUGCUACAAUGGACAGAACAAAGGGCAGCGAAACCGCGAGGUUAAGCCAAUCCCACAAAUCU